GGUCUCAUGGUGUAAUGGUUAGCACACUGGACUCUGAAUCCAGCGAUCCGAGUUCAAAUCUCGGUUAGACCU
Ixodes scapularis (black-legged tick) is the source of this 72-nucleotide non-coding RNA. The record is from Rfam. NCBI's taxonomy places the organism in Eukaryota, Metazoa, Arthropoda, Arachnida, Ixodida, Ixodidae.